CAGUUAAACGGGUGGUUGCCCUGCGGGGCAGCCACUGCACACGAAACAGUUUCGUGUUGGCCUGGCCAGCCCUGUUCCGUGUGCAGAAUUAUUGACGCAUUCAGAUAUUGGUAACACAUGAACCCCAUUGUAAUAACCAGGCUCCAGCGGAAGUUGGGCUACACUUUUACUC
Regulatory RNA element from Erwinia billingiae, 172 nucleotides. It matches the Rfam family "rncO". From Rfam's summary of the family: This family represents a bacterial regulatory element (rncO) found in the rnc leader sequence. The rnc operon is negatively auto-regulated by transcript stability. rnc, the first gene in the operon codes for RNase III which cleaves the long rncO stem II leading to transcript degradation and a reduction in translation. The record is from Rfam. Lineage: Bacteria; Pseudomonadati; Pseudomonadota; Gammaproteobacteria; Enterobacterales; Erwiniaceae.